This is an RNA transcript of Chenopodium quinoa (quinoa), 4003 nucleotides long. It is a transcript of the gene named photosystem II stability/assembly factor HCF136, chloroplastic-like, with no coding region annotated. The transcript is spliced from 3 exons. The record is from RefSeq and is a predicted model, not a curated record. Lineage: Eukaryota; Viridiplantae; Streptophyta; Magnoliopsida; Caryophyllales; Amaranthaceae.
CGUCCUUCUCUCCUCUCCUCUCCUCUCCUCUCCUCCAUCAAUCUUAGAGAAAAAAACUAUUGCGCUUUCAUUGUCGUUGUCAAUGUCGAAUUUGAAUUGCGAGUUGUCUUCAAUUUCACAGCCUCUAUUUUCGAACUACUGCGCUUUGUCGUUGUCAAUGUCGCCAUUGUUGACUACUCUUCCGGCGAAGUCCGAUGACUUGCUUUCUGAAUGGGAGAGAGUUUAUCUUUCGAUUGAUCCUGGUGUUUUUCUACUUGAUAUCGCCUUUGUUCCUGAUGACCCUAAUCACGGUACUCGGUUUCUAUUUUUAUUUUUCCUUUUAUUUUAAUUAGUUUUUGAAUCAUCUGAUUUUUCUACUUGUUGUGGCUUAAUUUUCAUUUUAAUUGAUAUUUUUUUGGCUGAAUUAGUAAAUUUUAUAUAACCUGAAUUUUCUAAUAUUUGUGGCUUAAUUUUCAUUUGAAUAAUUGUUUUUUUGGCUGAUCUUUCAUCACAUUUUGAGUCUAUUUUUUGUAAUCUAAUUUUCUAAUAUUUGUUAUAAUUAUUGUUUUUUUUUUUUCGGCUGAAUUUUCAUUUUGAGUAGUUUUUUUGCAUUAACUGAUUUUUCUAAUGUUUGUGGUUUAGUUUUCAUUUGAAUAAUUGUUUAUUUUUGGCUGAAAAUUCAUUUGAGUAGAUUUUGUAUAAUCUGAAAUUCAGAAUUGUGUUUUGUCACUCUGUGAUAUAUUUUCUUUAUUUGGUUGAUGUGAUGAGCUUUUAAUAGAAUUUGAGUACUUUGAACAAUUCAACAAAUGCGCUAUUAUUGUGAUUGUGAAAAAUGAAUUGGAGGUGUGAUAUAAAAAUAAUUAUGAGAAUUAGAGAGUACUUAUUUCUGAUUGAAUAAUGGUGGUGUUCUUAUGCUGGAAGGAGUGGGAAGAAGGGAGAGGAAAUGUCAUUAGUCGUUUCAAGCAACUAGUAUAUAUACAGAGCUAUGAAAUCAGGAAGUGUUUGGUUGCAUAUUUUUUGGGUGACAAUAGUCAAUGCCUUUUGUCUCUAAGGUAAUGAGUGCUUGCUUUUGUUACUCACCCUUAUUCGAUGAAUUGGUGAAAAAUAAUAGGAAUCAAUUUAACUAAUUGAUUUGUUCUAGCUUUACAGAUCAUAUGGCCAGCAGCAAUGCCUCUCCUACUGUGUGAGGUUGAUAUUGUAUGAAUUACGUGAUUUUGGGAAUAAAACAAACUGUUGAGAUGCCUUCAUUGAUGAAGGCUAAUAGAGUAAUAGCUAGUUCCUGCUUCGGUGUGCUUGAAGGUCAAAGGAAGGAUUUAAUUCGCGGUCAAAUUUUGAUGUUAAGUAGCCUUUAGGAAGAACACUGGUAUGAUAGUACUUCAGUCAAGGCUUUGAAGACAGGAAGAAUUAAGUACCUUAAUAAUAUAAAUACAUAAGCAUUACUGCAAUAGUUACUAAUUAGAGGGUCUUGUCUCAUGAAUAUGGACUAUGGAUUCCAUUUCCUGCAUAUUGUGAUGUAGGUUCUGCAAUGUUGUGUUAGUUUUUAAUUUUAAGUUCAAGUCCUAUUUAAAAAAGUUGUCUGGCUCAUGUUAUGGGAUAAUAUGGUGUAGGUUCCAGUGAAAGAUAAAAUUAUGUAUGCCUUAAAGCUGUCAGUUUGUAUCACUAAGUAUGAGGUAGAGACACUAGUAGAAAAAUGCUCAUUUGCGUCACCUUAUUUGCGUCACUCGUAGAAACAAAUGACGCAAAUAAUACAUUUUAGCUUCACUAUAAGUAAUUUGCGUCGCACAUUAACUACAAAGCGAAGCAAAAGUCUGAUAUAUUUCAGCUUACUCAUAUUUGCGUCGCUUUCAUAAAUAAAAAAAACGCAAAAGAUAAUGUUAUUUGCGUCGCUCAUUUAUUGACAGGUGACGCAAAUAGCUUUGUGAGUAAAUUGCGUCACUUCUUUCUUUAUUGAGUGACGCAAAUGACUAUUACAAUUACAGUCCACUCAACUCUUCCUCACAUUCAAUAUAAAACACUCUUGUUGCCAUGUCGCCGUUCGAACUUCAAAACCCUAGCAGCUUCAACUGAAAAAUCCCCUAAAAUUCAACAUCAAAACCUCAAGAAAAUCGUCUAACUAGCCGAAUCUCCAGCGCUGCCUUGUUGUCGUUCGUACUGCAAAACCCUAGCGAAUUCAACAGCAAAACCCUGAUAAAUUCGACCCCAAACCAACAAAUUUGACCCCAAAAUCAAUAAAUUCAACCUGUAAUUGAAAACCCCAGAAUAUCCAAGCCAAAACCCCCCAUUUUCAAGCAAAUCCGAGGCAAAACACCCUAUUUUUGAGCAAAAAUCGACCAAAACCCCCACGAAAUUCGAACUAUUAAAACCGCUGAUAGUCGAGAUGAAAUACUCUACAUCGAGGCUAGCAAGGAAUUGCUGCUUGUUGGUGUUGUUGUUGAUGGUUAGCAGGGGAAGCAGUGGAGAUGGUUGACAGUAAUAAGAGGUAUGCAGCAGGUGCUUGUGGUUGAUGGUGAGUGUGGUGGUCUAGCCUAGUGUAGUGGGAAAUUUGUUACAGAUAGCUAUUUUGUUGUUGAGUUGUUUGUGAAUUGCAAGGGAUAAUGUCAAGGUUUCUCUCUCUUAUAUUUAGAUUAACUCUAAUCUUAUUGUUAUUCAGUGAAUUUUCUGGUUUAGUUGUUCUAUAAUUUGAGGUAAUAAUUAAUUUCUUACUUCAUUUCUCUCAUAUUAAAGGUAAUUUAACAUUACAAUUGAAGGUUUUAAAAAAAAAAUUACAAUUGAAGCGGCAUAAUCUACUUCUUCAUUACCGAAUAAGAAUUUUAAGAGAAGUAGUCAAAAUAAUGACACAAUGUUAUUCCUUUGUUUUGUGUAUGAUAUUGUUUACCUCAAAUUGAAAUGAUGAUGUUAAUUACUACUUACUGAUAAAGUGAUUAUGAGUUGAUGGCAUUCUGUUUUUGCAUUUCGUAUUUUAAGAGAAUAAUAGCACUGCAAUUUUCAUUUUGUUUUGUGUACGAGAAGACAGGUACAAUGAACAUGUUUAAGCUAGACAUAUAAACUUUGGUAAAACAGGACUAAACUUAUUAGGGCCGUGAUUAAUAGAAAUUGUAGCUUAAAUUGGUCCAUAGUUUUUGUGUAUGUUAUUAAUCAAAUAAUGAAAUAAUCACCCAACCUUCCAGCAGUAUAUUAACUCUGUAGAGUUCUAGCUGAAAUAUAACCUUUAGUAGUCCUCAUCACCAAGUGUUCGAAUCGAAGGUAUCAUGAUCUUACUCUGGAGUCAAUGAAUGAUGCUAACAUUGUGAAGAAUGCAAAAUUCGAAUAAUACGUUACUAGAAUUCCCAUUAGUUACUGUAAUAGUUGCAGUUGCAGAAUUUACAGGAAGAAUUAUUGAAGAAGAUUGAUUUUGAUUUAAUAUAUGUAUGAUCCUUAAAUCAUGGAUAUAAAUUUAUCAAAACUGAAUAUAAGGGCUUGUUUUUCUCUUUAAAAUUGUGAAUUAAGUUCUAAUCCGAGAUGUUUUUCUCUUUAAAAUGUGGUGAGAAUGAUAUGAUUAGUAUUCUUAUUUUUCAUGCUUAGGUUUUAUCUUGUUUGAAAUGAGUUGAAUGAGUCUAUUGACUUUCUGGCUAUGAUGCGAGCGUGUAGUGUCAUCAAAAAUUGGGAGGAAGUGAGAUGUGGCUACUAUGUCGUGUACUAUAUGUUUGAAACAGUUCAACAUCACCGUAGUAAUGAGGAUCUUGUUAGAUUUUUCAAGAACAAUACCUUAUAAUGGGGAGGAGAUAAAUGAGGUUCGAGAUAUUUAGUCAAACUAUUUCAUGAUCAACGUUGAAAUUAGAUUUAAACUUAGCUAAAUCCAUUUGUUUGUUAGACUUUUUUUUUGUUUUAGUUCUUAGGCUUGAAAUGAAUGUAUUUGGGGUACCAACAUUUUGGGUUGGUCUUUGUUCUUGUGUUGGUUGAUGAUAUCAAUAAUUUUGAGUUGUAAAAUUUUGAUACUCUGCCGAAAUUUACAUUUGCAUUCAAUAAUAUUGCAUUUUAAUUUCAA